UAGGGAAUCUUCGGCAAUGGGGGGAACCCUGACCGAGCAACGCCGCGUGAGUGAAGAAGGUUUUCGGAUCGUCAAGCUCUGUUGUUAAGGAAGAACGAGUGUGAGAAUGGAAAGUUCAUGCUGUGACGGUACUUAACCAGAAAGGGACGGCUAACUACGUUCCAGCAGCCGCGGUAAUACGUAGGUCCCGAGCGUUGUCCGGAUUUAUUGGGCGUAAAGCGAGCGCAGGCGGUUAGAAAAGUCUGAAGUGAAAGGCAGUGGCUCAACCAUUGUAGGCUUUGGAAACUGUUUAACUUGAGUGCAGAAGGGGAGAGUGGAAUUCCAUGUGUAGCGGUGAAAUGCGUAGAUAGAUGGAGGAACACCAGUGGCGAAGGCGACUCUCUGGUCUGUAACUGACGCUGAGGCUCGAAAGCGUGGGUAGCAAACAGG
Molecule: ribosomal RNA, 429 nt
Filed under: Bacteroidota bacterium
Lineage: Bacteria; Pseudomonadati; Bacteroidota
Description: Bacteroidetes bacterium partial 16S ribosomal RNA
Rfam family: Bacterial small subunit ribosomal RNA
Source: RNAcentral